This 497-nucleotide ribosomal RNA is filed under the name uncultured bacterium. RNAcentral's name for it is "partial 16S ribosomal RNA". It matches the Rfam family "Bacterial small subunit ribosomal RNA", at positions 28 to 507 of the family's 1533-position model. The record is from RNAcentral.
GAUGAACGCUGGCGGCGUGCCUAAUACAUGCAAGUCGAGCGAACGGACGAGAAGCUUGCUUCUCUGAUGUUAGCGGCGGACGGGUGAGUAACACGUGGAUAACCUACCUAUAAGACUGGGAUAACUUCGGGAAACCGUAGCUAAUACCGGAUAAUAUUUUGAACCGCAUGGUUCAAAAGUGAAAGACGGUCUUGCUGUCACUUAUAGAUGGAUCCGCGCUGCAUUAGCUAGUUGGUAAGGUAACGGCUUACCAAGGCAACGAUGCAUAGCCGACCUGAGAGGCUGAUCGGCCGCACUGGAACUGAGACACGGUCCAGACUCCUACGGGAGGCAGCAGUAGGGAAUCUGCCGCAAUGGGCGAAAGCCUGACGGAGCAACGCCGCGUGAGUGAUGAAGGUCUUCGGAUCGUAAAACUCUGUUAUUAGGGAAGAACAUAUGUGUAAGUAACUGUGCACAUCUUGACGGUACCUAAUCAGAAAGCCACGGCUAACUACGUG